RNAcentral lists this ribosomal RNA (237 nucleotides) under Candidatus Scalindua brodae. RNAcentral describes it as "partial 16S ribosomal RNA". It matches the Rfam family "Bacterial small subunit ribosomal RNA", at positions 565 to 803 of the family's 1533-position model. Lineage: Bacteria; Pseudomonadati; Planctomycetota; Candidatus Brocadiia; Candidatus Brocadiales; Candidatus Scalinduaceae. The record is from RNAcentral.
GAGCACGUAGGUGUGUUUGUAAGUCAGAUGUGAAAGCCUUCUGUUCAACGUGAGAAUUGCAUCUGAAACUGCUAAUCUUGAGUAUAGGAGGGGAGAAUGGAACUUCUGGUGGAGCGGUGAAAUGCGUAGAUAUCAGGAGGAACGCCGGCGGCGAAAGCGAUUCUCUGGCCUAUUACUGACACUCAUGUGUGCGAAAGCUAGGUGAGCAAACGGGAUAGAUACCCCUGAUGCAGCUAU